CGAGCGCAGCUAGCAGAGCAGCGCAACUGGGCUCUAAUCAACGUCCUGUCUUACAGCGCAGCUAAUCAGACGCUCAGAAAGCGCUGCGGCCGGCCUUAUCCUGGCUUAAACCUACAACCCACUAGACCCACUUGCGCGGCUGCAGAAAAGCUAGCGACGCUGUUGUUAUCCAGGAAGCGGAAAUGGCGCUGUCGCGGGGGGAGAACAGGAGAUCUUUGCGAGUUGGGUUGGGCCAAAGAACCAGCGGCCUCGACAGGUAAAGCUAGCGAAGCGACAGCAAC
Molecule: long non-coding RNA, 281 nt
Filed under: Setaria italica (foxtail millet)
Lineage: Eukaryota; Viridiplantae; Streptophyta; Magnoliopsida; Poales; Poaceae
Description: long non-coding RNA (SITA_LNC007243)
Source: RNAcentral